This 30-nucleotide non-coding RNA is filed under the name Mus musculus (house mouse). The record is from RNAcentral. Lineage: Eukaryota; Metazoa; Chordata; Mammalia; Rodentia; Muridae.
UUCAAAUAGGUCUAAUGUGGGAUCCCCUGC